GGAAUUUUCCGCAAUGGGCGAAAGCCUGACGGAGCAACGCCGCGUGAGGGAUGAAGGCCUCUGGGCUGUAAACCUCUUUUAUCAAGGAAGAAGAUCUGACGGUACUUGAUGAAUAAGCCACGGCUAAUUCCGUGCCAGCAGCCGCGGUAAUACGGGAGUGGCAAGCGUUAUCCGGAAUUAUUGGGCGUAAAGCGUCCGCAGGCGGUCUUGUAAGUCUGUCGUCAAAGCGUGGAGCUUAACUCCAUUUACGCGAUGGAAACUGCAAGACUAGAGUGUGGUAGGGGCAGAGGGAAUUCCCGGUGUAGCGGUGAAAUGCGUAGAUAUCGGGAAGAACACCAGUGGCGAAGGCGCUCUGCUGGGCCAUAACUGACGCUCAUGGACGAAAGCCAGGGGAGCGAAAGGGAUUAGAUACCCCUGUAGUCCUGGCCGUAAACGAUGAACACUAGGUGUCGGGGGAAUCGACCCCCUCGGUGUCGUAGCCAACGCGUUAAGUGUUCCGCCUGGGGAGUACGCACGCAAGUGUGAAACUCAAAUGAAUUGACGGA
This 545-nucleotide ribosomal RNA is filed under the name uncultured bacterium. Its description in RNAcentral is "bacterial SSU rRNA". It matches the Rfam family "Bacterial small subunit ribosomal RNA", at positions 358 to 917 of the family's 1533-position model. The record is from RNAcentral.